GACGAACGCUGGCGGCGUGCUUAACACAUGCAAGUCGUACGGUAAGGCCCUUUCGGGGGUACACGAGUGGCGAACGGGUGAGCAACACGUGAGUAACCUGCCCACAACUUUGGGAUAACGCUAGGAAACUGGUGCUAAUACUGGAUAUGUGCUCCUGCUGCAUGGUGGGGGUUGGAAAGCUCCGGCGGUUGUGGAUGGACUCGCGGCCUAUCAGCUUGUUGGUGGGGUAGUGGCCUACCAAGGCGGCGACGGGUAGCCGGCCUGAGAGGGUGACCGGCCACAUUGGGACUGAGAUACGGCCCAGACUCCUACGGGAGGCAGCAGUGGGGAAUAUUGCACAAUGGGCGCAAGCCUGAUGCAGCAACGCCGCGUGCGGGAUGACGGCCUUCGGGUUGUAAACCGCUUUCAGCAGGGACGAAGCUUUUUGUGACGGUACCUGCAGAAGAAGCACCGGCUAACUACGUG
RNAcentral lists this ribosomal RNA (465 nucleotides) under uncultured bacterium. RNAcentral describes it as "partial 16S ribosomal RNA". It matches the Rfam family "Bacterial small subunit ribosomal RNA", at positions 28 to 507 of the family's 1533-position model. The record is from RNAcentral.